Molecule: ribosomal RNA, 119 nt
Filed under: Panicum miliaceum (proso millet)
Lineage: Eukaryota; Viridiplantae; Streptophyta; Magnoliopsida; Poales; Poaceae
Also listed under: 6 other names
Source: RNAcentral
GGAUGCGAUCAUACCAGCACUAAAGCACCGGAUCCCAUCAGAACUCCGAAGUUAAGCGUGCUUUGGCGAGAGUAGUACUAGGAUGGGUGACCUCCUGGGAAGUCCUCGUGUUGCAUUCC